Molecule: transfer RNA, 73 nt
Filed under: Ixodes scapularis (black-legged tick)
Lineage: Eukaryota; Metazoa; Arthropoda; Arachnida; Ixodida; Ixodidae
Rfam family: tRNA
About the family: Transfer RNA (tRNA) molecules are approximately 80 nucleotides in length. Their secondary structure includes four short double-helical elements and three loops (D, anti-codon, and T loops).
Source: Rfam by way of RNAcentral
UCAUGGUUAGCUCAGUCGGUAGAGCGCUUCACUGGAAAUGGAGAGGUCCCUGGUUCGACACCACGAUAAUGCG